This 240-nucleotide ribosomal RNA is filed under the name uncultured bacterium. RNAcentral's name for it is "partial 16S ribosomal RNA". It matches the Rfam family "Bacterial small subunit ribosomal RNA", at positions 537 to 776 of the family's 1533-position model. The record is from RNAcentral.
AGCGUUGUCCGGAAUUAUUGGGCGUAAAGAGCUCGUAGGCGGCUCGGUAAGUCAGGUGUCAAAUCCUCAGGCUCAACCUGGGGCUCCACCUGAUACUGCUGUGGCUAGAGUCCGGUAGGGGAGCGUGGAAUUCCUGGUGUAGCGGUGAAAUGCGCAGAUAUCAGGAGGAACACCAGCGGCGAAGGCGGCGCUCUGGGCCGGAACUGACGCUGAGGAGCGAAAGCGUGGGUAGCAAACAGG